This 427-nucleotide ribosomal RNA is filed under the name uncultured bacterium. Its description in RNAcentral is "partial 16S ribosomal RNA". It matches the Rfam family "Bacterial small subunit ribosomal RNA", at positions 355 to 774 of the family's 1533-position model. The record is from RNAcentral.
UGGGGAAUAUUGGACAAUGGGCGCAAGCCUGAUGCAGCCAUGCCGCGUGUAUGAAGAAGGCCUUCGGGUUGUAAAGUACUUUCAGCGGGGAGGAAGGCGAUAAGGUUAAUAACCUUGUCGAUUGACGUUACCCGCAGAAGAAGCACCGGCUAACUCCGUGCCAGCAGCCGCGGUAAUACGGAGGGUGCAAGCGUUAAUCGGAAUUACUGGGCGUAAAGCGCACGCAGGCGGUCUGUCAAGUCGGAUGUGAAAUCCCCGGGCUCAACCUGGGAACUGCAUUCGAAACUGGCAGGCUAGAGUCUUGUAGAGGGGGGUAGAAUUCCAGGUGUAGCGGUGAAAUGCGUAGAGAUCUGGAGGAAUACCGGUGGCGAAGGGGGCCCCCUGGACAAAGACUGACGCUCAGGUGCGAAAGCGUGGGGAGCAAACA